RNAcentral lists this ribosomal RNA (271 nucleotides) under uncultured soil bacterium. RNAcentral's name for it is "partial 16S ribosomal RNA". It matches the Rfam family "Bacterial small subunit ribosomal RNA", at positions 26 to 285 of the family's 1533-position model. The record is from RNAcentral.
AGAAUCAACGCUGGCGGCGUGCCUAACACAUGCAAGUCGUACGCGAAAGGGGCUUCGGCCCUGAGUAGAGUGGCAAACGGGUGAGUAACACGUGGGUGACCUGCCUUCGAGUGGGGGAUAACGUCCCGAAAGGGACGCUAAUACCGCAUGACAUCCUGCCUUUGGAAAGGCGAGAUUAAAGCCGGGGAUCGCAAGACCUGGCGCUUGAAGAGGGGCCCGCGCCUGAUUAGCUAGUUGGUGGGGUAAUGGCCUACCAAGGCAACGAUCAGUA